This 253-nucleotide ribosomal RNA is filed under the name uncultured bacterium. RNAcentral's name for it is "partial 16S ribosomal RNA". It matches the Rfam family "Bacterial small subunit ribosomal RNA", at positions 524 to 776 of the family's 1533-position model. The record is from RNAcentral.
UACGGAGGGUGCAAGCGUUAUCCGGAUUUACUGGGUUUAAAGGGUGCGUAGGUGGGUCUGUAAGUCAGUGGUGAAAUCUUCAAGCUUAACUUGGAAACUGCCAUUGAUACUAUAGGUCUUGAAUUAUCUGGAGGUAAGCGGAAUAUGUCAUGUAGCGGUGAAAUGCUUAGAUAUGACAUAGAACACCAAUUGCGAAGGCAGCUUACUACGGAUCGAUUGACACUGAGGCACGAAAGCGUGGGGAUCAAACAGG